Molecule: long non-coding RNA, 1311 nt
Organism: Brassica napus (rape)
Lineage: Eukaryota; Viridiplantae; Streptophyta; Magnoliopsida; Brassicales; Brassicaceae
Exons: 2
Source: RefSeq, a predicted model, not a curated record
AAAUUCAAACCGUAACCCCGUUAAAGUAACCACCAAAGCAACUCAAGCAGAGAGCACAGCUUCUUUUCUUUUUUGUCACCAGAGAACACAGUCUAUUCCAAAAAAAAACUCUCAACGAACACAGAGGAUGCAGAGAAUCAUCACCUGUGAUCAAAACGAAGAGUAAGAAAUAAACCAAGCAAAGUGACUGAGAAUCAUCUUCGGCCAUAAUCAUACGCGUCACCGUCUUCAACUACUUUUUCUUUUUCUUCUUGCUCUUUAUUGUUGGAGUCGUCGUCUUCUUCUUCGACAAGGUGUGGAAAUUACUAAGGAAGAAGAUGAUUUUCAUGGAAAAUUCAUGGAAAAGGGAUUAUAGAGAAAGAGGAAAGGGGAAGUUGAAAAAACAGACCCGCCCGCACGUAAGACCAACCAACUCAAAAACUUUGAACACACAUUUAUUUGCCCCAAGGCUUAUUCUCCUUCUUCUUCUCUAUUUAUUAGACUUUUCCUUUCCUUUUCUUCUUCUCCCCCUCACGAAAUUAAAACACAAAAGGUUGAAUUGAAUCAUCAUUUUUAUGUUUAUUUUUUGACCAAAAUAACGUAUUUAUUACGCUACCAGUCUUUCAAAUUUUUUCUUUCGAAACAAAUAACAAAUUCUUUUAAUAUUUGAAAUUAUUAGAGUAAAAAUGUUAUCUUGAUUUAAUAGUGUCAUAUGACUAAGACCAUCAUUAUUUCUGAUAUUUCAACAUAAAUUUCUUUUUCACUAUAUUAAUAUUUCAAUGUUUUAUAAAAGGUGAAAACUUAUUUUAGCAACUUUCAAAUGAACUUUUCAAAUUUUGAAAAGAAAAAGUUCAAUUGGAUAUCUAUACAAUUGGUAACAAUACCUAUAUUCAAAACUUCAAAUACUAUAUUAAUGGGGAUGCAAUAAAUACAGCUUUAGUCUCAAUUUAAGCCAAAAAUAAUAAUUACAAAUAUUGUGUAAGACUAUGGAAUUUAAUGGCUCGGACGUAAAUAUAUCAAAAUUUGAGUUUUUUUUUUUGAAUUUUUAAUCAUGCGGUUUGGUUGAAACUUCAUGAAAUUAAAUUUAGGUGAGCAGCUGAGACAUCUAAGUUGACCAGUUCUGAAGAUUUUGACUUCGUGUAAGAGUUGAUUUACAAGAUUACGGUAUGGUGGGCCUCAUGUAAUUCAUCUGGACGGCACUCAUUGACUUAGUUAGUCCUUUGACCAAUGUUUUUAGCAUAUUAUUAAUGAUCAAAUCUCAUAUCUUAUUCCUUUUAUUUGUCUGUACUAUUGAUAUAGAAAUACGUUCUUUAAUAUUUUCCCCCGUGACCA